This 232-nucleotide long non-coding RNA is filed under the name Lathyrus oleraceus (garden pea). RNAcentral describes it as "Pisum sativum (pea) long non-coding RNA (PSAT_LNC012994)". The record is from RNAcentral. Lineage: Eukaryota; Viridiplantae; Streptophyta; Magnoliopsida; Fabales; Fabaceae.
ACAAACCAAUCUUUUCUUCCAAACAUGUGUGAUGAGCAUCCUGAGUCCAAGUACUACUGGUCCUUGAAUCUCUCUUCUUCUCUUGUUGUAACCAUCAACAACAUCUCUUCUUCUUCAUGUUUCGCCAGUUUUGCUUAAGUUUCUUGAUUCUUCUGUUUUUCUGGACAAUCACUAGAAUAGUGACCAUACCUUUGACAAUUGUAAUACUGAAUGUGACUCUUGUCUGGCUUUU